Molecule: long non-coding RNA, 1093 nt
Filed under: Homo sapiens (human)
Lineage: Eukaryota; Metazoa; Chordata; Mammalia; Primates; Hominidae
Description: long intergenic non-protein coding RNA 2325
Source: RNAcentral
UGGUAACACAAGAUAAAUACGAGGGUCAACCAGGGACCCCGGAGAACAGGAAAUGAGAUGAAGAGGUAAAAAAGCGAAGUAUGUACCCAAGAUUACAGCUAAACUAGGACUUGAACCCAUGUCUGUCUGAAGUCCGAGCUGAAACUUUGGCCACUAAAUUGCCCUGUCUCACUACAGAAUUCAAUCCACGUUACUCCAUUGCCAUUUGUUACCACGUCCUUCAGUCUCCUCAAUCUCUCAGUCCCCUUAUUUUUCGUGACCUUGACAACUUUGAGGAGGACUCAUCAGUGAGAAUACCCUGAUUCAUUUGGAAUAGGAAUCACCUUACCUUUCCCAGCCUCACUUCUGGCUGCGAGAGCUCAUGGAGCAGCACUGAGAUUAAUGGCACAUGUGCAGAGGCCCUGGUGUGGGGCUUUUGUGAAUGUUUUUUAAGUUCCUGCCCAGGCUGACUCUAUCAUACAAGCUGUAACUUCUGCCAGUCCUAUCAGCCAGCAAACAAUAAAAGCACUGAGGCUCACAAAAGUGAAGUAACUUUCCUCAAGUCCCAGGGCUGAGAAAUUGCAAACACAUAAUUUGGACUGAAGUUUGCCCCCUAUUCACUGGGGCCACCUGUCUGCCAAUGGGAGUAGGAAAGGCAUUCACCAUCAGAAGGCCACAAAGAGCUCUGAGGAACAAGUACACAAGGAGACAAAGCUGCAGCACUGCCAAGGACAUGGAUCUCUCAAGCUCCUGUCUGGCACAUUGCAGGAAGUAAGGGGCAUGUCUAACCACCACGCUCAGCCAAGCCAAAGAACAAAGGCAGCGGCACUCUCUCUGGACCUUGGGGAAUAACACAGCCCUCCCAGGCAGAAGAUGCAAGCAUUCCUGUUGCAGUGCAAUUAGGAGCAGCGAAGAAACUCAGACAUGUGCCCCUUCUGUGUUGGCAACUGAUAUGACAGAACUUCAUGAGGUGCAAAAUACAGGCUGUGUGUGUGUGUGUGUGUGUGUGUGCACACUCGGUGCUAUAUGCUGCAGCCCAAGUUUCAGAGUGAUUUUUAACUUGAAGCUGAUGAGAUGGGAUAUUGUGUCUUUUUUAAAAAUGUAACCAACAACA